UGCCAAUGAGAUGUAAACACAUGUGGAUUCAGGUUCUCUGCUGAGAGUGAGUGUCCACCUUGUUUGGCAGCCAUGGAUGUUCAGAUUGGAAUGAGGAUCCAGAAACCUUCCAUUUCUUGGCAUUUCCCUCACAGCCUUGACUGACCUCCAAGUGUCUCCCUGAUGGGAAAGUCCCUUCCUGUCAGGAAUCAGCUGUUCCUGAGAGUGCUGUCCUCCAACGGGACAAGGAACAGAGAGGCGAGCUGUCACCUGAGAUCCUGACAAGAGUCGCCAAUCUGCCAGGUGCUGAUGCCAUCACGGCACUGGCCUUGCAUUUUCUUACCUCGUCCUCCCCACCACAAGCAGGUAAGAAAUUUGGUCAGUUAACAACAGUCUGUUAAACUGCAGCAUGAUUUGACAGAAUACAACCAAAAAGGACAUGAUCACAUGCAUCAUUAAGG
Sciurus carolinensis (gray squirrel) is the source of this 440-nucleotide long non-coding RNA. RefSeq lists it as uncharacterized. Lineage: Eukaryota; Metazoa; Chordata; Mammalia; Rodentia; Sciuridae. The record is from RefSeq and is a predicted model, not a curated record. The transcript has 3 exons.